UGAUGAUGAUGAUGAUGAUGAUGAUGAUGAUGAUGAUGAUGAUGAUGAUGAUGAUGAUCGUCAUCGCCAUCCUCAUCCUCCUCCUCAUCCCAAUCU
Molecule: microRNA precursor, 96 nt
Filed under: Guillardia theta CCMP2712
Lineage: Eukaryota; Cryptophyceae; Pyrenomonadales; Geminigeraceae
Description: microRNA mir-598
Source: RNAcentral